Molecule: ribosomal RNA, 845 nt
Filed under: uncultured bacterium
Lineage: Bacteria
Description: bacterial SSU rRNA
Rfam family: Bacterial small subunit ribosomal RNA
Source: RNAcentral
AGAGUUUGAUCAUGGCUCAGGAUGAACGCUAGCGGGAGGCUUAACACAUGCAAGUCGAGGGGCAGCACGAGGUAGCAAUACUUUGGUGGCGACCGGCGCACGGGUGAGUAACGCGUAUGUAACCUACCCUGUACAGGGGGAUAACCCGGAGAAAUUCGGACUAAUAUCCCAUAAAGAUAUUGGAGGGCAUCCUUUGAUAUUUAAAGCUCAGGCGGUACGGGAUGGGCAUGCGUAACAUUAGCUAGUUGGUAGGGUAACGGCCUACCAAGGCUACGAUGUUUAGGGGUCCUGAGAGGGUGAUCCCCCACACUGGUACUGAGACACGGACCAGACUCCUACGGGAGGCAGCAGUGAGGAAUAUUGGUCAAUGGGCGCAAGCCUGAACCAGCCAUCCCGCGUGCAGGAAGACGGCCCUAUGGGUUGUAAACUGCUUUUCCAGGGGGUGAAACUCCCGUACGUGUACGGGACUGACGGUACCUUGGGAAUAAGCAUCGGCUAACUCCGUGCCAGCAGCCGCGGUAAUACGGAGGAUGCGAGCGUUAUCCGGAUUUAUUGGGUUUAAAGGGUGCGUAGGCGGAUUAAUAAGUCAGUGGUGAAAUCCUGCAGCUUAACUGUGGAACUGCCAUUUGAUACUGUUAGUCUUGAGUAUGGUCAAGGUAGGCGGGAAUGUGUAAUGUAGCGGUGAAAUGCUUAGAUAUUACACAGAACACCGAUUGCGAAGGCAGCUUACUGGGCCAUUACUGACGCUGAUGCACGAAAGCGUGGGGAUCGAACAGGGUUAGAUACCCUGGGUAGCCCACGGCCGUAAACGAUGAUCACUCGCUGUUAGCGAUACACAGUUAGCC